UCUUUUGAAUUAUAGGACUGAUGAUAUUAUCAACUACAGAAAAAGAUACUGUGCUGUCAAAAUGAUGCUUUUUCUAGAGAGAAAGAAGCUCUGAACUACACACGUUGGGAAAGCAGACUCAUUAAGACUUGGAUUCCUUACAUUCUCCAUCCAUUUGGGUUCUCAUGAAUAAGGGAGAAAAUUUUCACCAGCUUUACUCACCUUCUGCCUUUCUGGUUGUGAAUGAAAAUUCAGAGGAAGAUAGAUGCCAGCUAAAGUAUUGACAAUGCAAUCACAGGUGAGUAGGGAAUUCUUCUUUAACUGAAUUGAACCCCUUUGCCAGCAG
RNAcentral lists this long non-coding RNA (325 nucleotides) under Dasypus novemcinctus (nine-banded armadillo). RNAcentral describes it as "lncRNA (ENSDNOG00000050245.1)". Lineage: Eukaryota; Metazoa; Chordata; Mammalia; Cingulata; Dasypodidae. The record is from RNAcentral.